UUCAUGAGCACCUGAUCCCCCAAUUAAGCUUUCCACCUGCAGAGGCCAAGCUUCCAUCCCGCUCAAUUUCUCUCCCCAACCCUCUCCACAGCUGACAGUGUAUUCUGUGACCAGAGAAUGAACACAGCAGAUUCCAUCAAGAAUCUGAAUUUUGUGAGAAGCCCAGUAUUCUUGAGGUUACCAGGGCAACCUCUGAGGCUUGGAUGAAGGUGUUAGCAAUGUGUCACCAGGAGUGUUUCAUCUGAAUCAUCGCCUGUUGGACAGUCCUUUGUGGAUCAUAAUCCUCUCUGAUGCGGCUAUCAGCCAAAAUGGUGCUGUCAACAUUUAUGUCAACGCCGAGUGCUCAUCAUCUUUGUCAUUGUGCCUACCCUCCUGAACUCCACCUGGGAUCAUCAUCAGCAAAGCAACUGCAAAACUGGCUUUUCUCACACAGCCUUAUACAAGCAGUAAACAGUGGAUCUCAGGGGAUAACUCUGUGUCAUAUAAUUUACUGCCCAAUUUUGCUAACCCAUGAGGUUUAGCUGCUAGUCUUUUUCAGAGCUUCAAAUAAGCUUACAAGUUUGGGGCUAUUUAUCUAUAAUAAACUUUUAAAUAUUCAGCAUGAAAAAACCCCCAGCAUUUUCAGCUUUGAGUGCAUUGAUGGAUAUUCUUUGAGGAUUUCAGAGGAAAAGGCGUUUGGUAUACAGAGGAUGUUGUAUUAUUCUAGCUUUCUGUUACUGCCUAAUAUUUACAGUAAAAAGUAUACCAUUGCAGAGCCAAAAGAGACCUUGGAGAUAAUCUGAUUUAAUGAGCUCAUUUUGUAGAAAGGUCUGAAUAGGAGUUACCCAAGAUCACACAGUUAUUUAGUAGAAGAAUUGAAAUGAGAAUCAGGCUUUAUAACUCUGCACAGGCAUAUACUCCAUUCAGAAACUGAAUUGAAUUUCCUCCAACAGAAGCCCAGAGCCAUUCUACAAAAGAAGUAAAAAGCAAGAUAUUUUUCAAUAGCUUUACACUGUCUACAAAACACACAGCCAAAGGAGAUGUUUCCUUUUGACUACGUAUGAUCCUAACCUUAACUGAAUCCAUAGAAUAGAAAAUGUGCUAUGCUCCAGUCUAGCAUAGAAAACUUGAUGAAGGUGGUUGUAGAGUUGAGUAUUGAAUGGUAGCCAGAGGAUGAGAAUGGACAGAUGUCAUGCUGUGUGAUAAAAAUGUAACCAUGCAUGGCCAUGCAUGUGGACAAUGGUAAUGAAGCCAUAUGAGAACAUAACAUUGACAGAAUUAUACAUUGUCCUAAUCUGUCAUUAAUAUGGCUAAAAUAGUCAUGGUAUGAGGAAAAAAGAUUUC
RNAcentral lists this small RNA (1323 nucleotides) under Rattus norvegicus (Norway rat). Its description in RNAcentral is "uncharacterized LOC102546350". Lineage: Eukaryota; Metazoa; Chordata; Mammalia; Rodentia; Muridae. The record is from RNAcentral.